RNAcentral lists this unclassified non-coding RNA (4755 nucleotides) under Hevea brasiliensis (rubber tree). The record is from RNAcentral. Lineage: Eukaryota; Viridiplantae; Streptophyta; Magnoliopsida; Malpighiales; Euphorbiaceae.
AUUUUCUUUUGCAUUUAUAUAUACGAACUUUAUUAUUUUGUGCUUUAUUAAUUGGCAACAUCCUAGGCAUUAAAUUUUCUUAAUGCACGUGUGAAAUGUAUGAAAAAUGUAUUGGUUAAAAAAUUGCCCAAAUAGCUUUUGACCUUCCAAAAGAAGUAGGAUAGGAGAUCAAAAACAGUAGAAGUGCUUUAUAGUAUGAUAAAUAUGAAAUUUUGGUGGCUGGAAAGUCUCCUAGCUUGAUGGCCUAAUUUUUUGAGAAUAUGGUAAAUUAUUCACUAGAAUGUUUUAUUAUGUUCUUAUAAUAAAUUCAAUAUAGGUCUAAGUACGUUAAAUUUAGGCUUUUCUGUAAGAACUUUAUGGAUAAUGUUUAGUGAUGAGUAUGGUAUUUAUUAAUUUUAUUCCUAAUUAUGAUUUAGCUAUUUAUAUGUUGCCAUAAAGUUCCUUCUAUAACCAUAUGAGAAGAUAUUUUAUCUUUGCAUACAUUAUAAUAUUAGUGAUAACGUCUUGUGUUUGUAAUCCAGGAAGCUUCUAUAUAUGUUAUGGGGGAUACUAUUCCCAACUUAUGAUUAAAUUGACAUACUUUUAUUUUCCAUAUGGCCAUAUAUUUUUUAGAUAUCAUGUUGUCCAUAAUAUGAAGCCGACAGUCAAGUGUCUUGUUUGCCCAUAGUUUCAUCAGUGUGGUGCUGAAUUAGCGGCCUUUAAUUUACAUUAUGAUCUUCAUAUAGCCGGUUACCUGGGUAUUUCACGAUUUCUGCAUGUUUUAGUUUUAUCUAUAUAUGAAUUCAGACCAUAAAUAGUUGAUUGACUGUUCGCAUUGAUAAUUUGAUUGUAUUUACAAUUUAAAUUUUUAAAAUGAAUUGGAAAGGCUAAUCACUAUUGCAUUCUUUCCAUGGAUGGGAACAGUUUGGCUUUCAUUUGGCAUUUGGAUGACUGAAAAAUGGCCUGAUGCUCGUUUUUGCCAUCAAUUUGAUGUAUUAUACUAUGCUUUACUGUAGGGCACUCAUAAAUAUCCAUUAUAGUUAAAUGAGUACCUGGCAAGUGUGGCCAAUGAAGGAAGUUAGGAUCAUUCUUCUUUUAAUAAUAUAUGUUUUCUUGCAUCAGCUACUUCUUAUCAUAAUGAAGGAACAAAAUCUUCACCCUAACAAACACUAGCAGCACAAGUCUCAUAUUUGGAUGUGUGCCAAUAUCAGGUUGUCCUGGCUGUUUGUGUGUUCUUUAAUGUUUCCCUUUGAAGUGAAUUAAGAACAACUUUCUCUGAAAUCCCUAUGAUGUUUGAAUGUUAUGAAGAUAUGUUUAUACCAGCUUUGAAUCAGGCCUAUAACUGGUAGAUCAUGAUUUUCUGUGGAGAUUGAUUUGGUGAUGCUUGUUUUGUGCAUUUCUCCACCUUCCCCUUUUAACAUAAUUCUUUUAUGCUAUAUUUUAUUCAUUACUCUUGGCUAAUUAUUUGAAAUGAAGUGGAAAAAAAAAUUCUGGAAUCUCUUAAUUGGUGUAAGUCCUUCGUUAUAGUGUUUGCAUGAUUAAUUUUUUUUUAUUCAUAUGGGCUUCUCCCUCUGAUGAUGAAUUGUGGUUUUUGUGAUAUUUUGUUAUCUUUCAAAUUCAUUUUAAUCAUGAAAAUUCUAUUAAUAAAUUUUCAUAUGUUGUGACUGAUUUUGGUGGUUAUCCUUUUGUUCUUACAAUUCCUGAUAAAAAUAUUCCUUCCAUUACAUCUUUAUUUAUCACAAUCAAUUUAGUAAAAAAAAGAGAUACAACCAAAAACACUGACCAGGAACUUUGCAAUCUUUUGAGUAAAUCUUUGUUAUUUCAGUCUUAGAAAUAAUCAUCCAUGUCUAUUGAGUGGUGUGAGAACUCUGGAGGGAUUUAGGUUCACUGCCUUAUUCAGAUGCUAUGACUUAGAUGCUUAAUGACGGAUCUAAUGUAUUUAGGAUGGUUACAUUGUAUAUUUCUGGGCAUUCAAAUGAAAAGACUGAUUUCCUUCAUGGAUUAAAGAAAAAAAAAUCAGCUUACUAACAGAAGGCAUAUGGGGAAAAUGACAUUUUUUUGAAAUAAAUAAUACCACAAUAGAUAUUGAGGCUUCUUGAAGUUAUUGAAAGCGGUCUGCGUUCAUUGUUCCUAUGAUUCAUUGUUCCUAUUAACUGAUCCUGGUGCCAUAUGGUUUUGCAACAUUUUGUGGUUGGUAAAUUCUUCUCUGUUUCUUCCAGUUGUGCAUUGCACAUUGGUGAUUGGCGUGCUGAUUUCAUUUCCUUGUUCAUGCUUGGUGUAGUUGAACUUAUGUAAGUAGGAAUGCAUUUGAAAUUUAAGUUACAAUUAGUUACACGCUCAUUAAUUUUUGUCCUCUUCAAUCAAUGGUGGCAGAUGGUGGUGGUGGUAAGGGCACAUGGGGAAAACUGCUUGAUACUGAUGGUGAAUCACAUAUUGAUCGGAAUGAUCCUAACUAUGACAGUGGAGAGGAGCCAUACCAGCUUGUUGGGGCAACUAUCUCAGACCCUUUAGAUGAGUACAAGAAGGCUGUUAUUUCCAUAAUAGAGGAGUACUUCAGUACUGGUGAUGUGGAAGUGGCAGCAUCUGAUCUCAGAGAACUUGGCUCAAGCCAAUAUCAUCCUUAUUUUAUCAAGCGGCUCGUUUCCAUGGCUAUGGACCGGCAUGAUAAAGAGAAGGAAAUGGCUUCUGUUCUGCUAUCUUCUCUGUAUGCCGCUGUAAUCAGCCCAUUGCAGAUUAGGGAUGGGUUUGUCAUCCUUCUUGAGUCUGCUGAUGAUCUAGCUGUAGACAUAUUAGAUGCAGUUGACAUCCUUGCUUUGUUCAUAGCUCGUGCUGUGGUGGAUGAUAUCCUUCCUCCAGCAUUCCUCACUAGGGCAAAGAAGACCCUUCCAGAGUCCUCAAAGGGAUUUCGGGUUCUCCAAAUUGCUGAGAAGAGCUAUCUCUCAGCCCCACACCACGCAGAACUUGUGGAGAGGAGGUGGGGUGGUAGCACUCACGUCACUGUUGAGGAAGUAAAGAAAAAGAUUGCUGAUCUGUUGAGAGAAUAUGUGGAGAAUGGGGAUGCUUUUGAGGCAUGUAGGUGCAUAAGGGAAUUGGGGGUUUCGUUUUUUCAUCAUGAGGUUGUCAAGAGGGCCUUAAUUCUUGGCAUGGAGACUCGUACUGCCGAACCACUUAUACUAAAGCUGUUAAAGGAGGCUUCCGAGGAAGGCUUGAUAAGUUCCAGUCAAAUGUUGAAGGGUUUUACCAGGCUAACUGAGAGCCUUGAUGACCUUGCUCUUGACAUUCCAUCUGCAAAAAGCUUGUUCCAAUUCCUUGUUCCCAAGGCUAUUGCUGAGGGAUGGCUAGAUGCUUCCUUCUUGAAGACCUCUAGUAAAGAUGGGCAGGGACCAGCUGAAGACAAAAAGUUGAGAAGAUAUAAGGAGGAGGUUGUGACAAUAAUUCAUGAGUAUUUUCUCUCAGAUGACAUUCCUGAACUAGUCCGAAGUCUUGAAGAUCUUGGCAUGCCUGAGUUUAACCCAAUUUUCCUGAAAAAACUCAUCACCCUGGCUAUGGAUAGGAAGAAUAGGGAGAAAGAAAUGGCGUCCGUUUUGCUUUCAGCUCUUCACAUUGAGAUUUUUUCAACUGAAGAUAUUGUUAAUGGCUUUGUCAUGCUUGUGGAAUCUGCAGAAGAUACAGCACUUGACAUUUUGGAUGCUUCGAAUGAACUUGCUCUCUUUCUGGCAAGGGCUGUGAUUGAUGAUGUCUUGGCUCCACUUAAUCUAGAGGAGAUAAGCAGCAAAUUGCCUCCAAAUUGCAGCGGGAGUGAGACUGUGCACAUGGCUCGAUCACUUAUUGCUGCACGUCAUGCAGGUGAGAGGAUCCUUAGGUGUUGGGGAGGUGGGACUGGGUGGGCUGUGGAGGAUGCAAAGGACAAGAUACAGAAGCUAUUAGAGGAGUAUGAAAGUGGGGGAGAUGUCAGUGAGGCUUGCCAAUGCAUCCGUGAUCUUGGGAUGCCCUUUUUUAAUCAUGAGGUGGUGAAGAAGUCGUUGGUCAUGGCUAUGGAGAAGAAGAAUGAUAGGAUGCUUGAUCUGCUACAAGAGUGUUUCAAUGAAGGGUUGAUUACUAUCAAUCAGAUGACCAAAGGCUUCACCCGCAUAAAGGACGGGCUUGAUGAUCUAGCUCUUGACAUUCCAAAUGCAAAGGAGAAAUUCAGUUUCUAUUUGGAGUAUGCCAGUAAGAAGGGUUGGCUCCAAGCAUUUUUUGGGUCAUCUGUGGCAGAUACAUUCUCAACCCUGGUUGCAGCAACUUGAGAUGAACAUAUAUUUCCGUUAGUUUCUCUCAUCUGUUGUUGCCCAGUCCCUCCGUGUACUGCUUAAUCGUCCCUGUGCUUCUAACGUGGAUAGAUAGAUAUGGGACGUAUGAAUUCCGUCUGAUGUUCCUUUUCUUUUUUUUUUGUUUAGUGGUCAUCUGGUGGAGAUUGUUGUGAUCCCAACCAAUGUACAAAGUUGUUUCGUUCCUAGUAACAUAACUUUAGGAGUAAGCUGCGUCGAGAAGUAUGCUGCAGGGGAGGAUAUGUCAUGCUGCUGCUGUUAUCACAUGCAAUAGCAAUAUGAUGUUUAGGAGGAUAUUAGUUUCUCUUUCCCCAUCACGAGUCCUCAAUGGUUUUAUCUUUUAUUUUUAUUUUGCUAUGGUCCUUCAUUAUCCUAUUUAUUAAGUUGCGAUCGGUAUUUAUUUAUUUAUUUCUUUCAUUUCUCUUUUUAUUAGAUAAUACAUUAGAAGUCAAAGUACACUUGAUUUUUU